RNAcentral lists this ribosomal RNA (253 nucleotides) under uncultured bacterium. RNAcentral's name for it is "partial 16S ribosomal RNA". It matches the Rfam family "Bacterial small subunit ribosomal RNA", at positions 524 to 776 of the family's 1533-position model. The record is from RNAcentral.
UACGUAGGUGGCGAACGUUGUCCGGAAUUACUGGGCGUAAAGCGCACGUAGGCGGACAUUUAAGUCAGGGGUGAAAUCCCAGAGCUCAACUCUGGAACUGCCUUUGAUACUGGGUGUCUUGAGUAUGGAAGAGGUGAGUGGAAUUCCGAGUGUAGAGGUGAAAUUCGUAGAUAUUCGGAGGAACACCAGUGGCGAAGGCGGCUCACUGGUCCGGUACUGACGCUGAGGUGCGAAAGCGUGGGGAGCAAACAGG